UACAGAGGGUGCAAGCGUUAUUCGGAAUCACUGGGCGUAAAGCGCGCGUAGGCCGCUUGGUAAGUCUGAUGUGAAAGCCCUGGGCUCAACCCAGGAAGUGCAUUGGAUACUGCCAGGCUAGAGUACAGAAGAGGACAGUGGAAUUUCUGGUGUAGAGGUGAAAUUCGUAGAUAUCAGAAGGAACAACAGUGGCGAAGGCGACUGUCUGGGCUGUUACUGACGCUGAGGCGCGAAAGCGUGGGGAGCAAACAGG
This 253-nucleotide ribosomal RNA is filed under the name uncultured bacterium. RNAcentral's name for it is "partial 16S ribosomal RNA". It matches the Rfam family "Bacterial small subunit ribosomal RNA", at positions 524 to 776 of the family's 1533-position model. The record is from RNAcentral.